RNAcentral lists this ribosomal RNA (253 nucleotides) under uncultured bacterium. RNAcentral describes it as "partial 16S ribosomal RNA". It matches the Rfam family "Bacterial small subunit ribosomal RNA", at positions 524 to 776 of the family's 1533-position model. The record is from RNAcentral.
UACGUAGGGUGCGAGCGUUGUCCGGAAUUAUUGGGCGUAAAGGGCUCGUAGGCGGUUUGUCGCGUCGGGAGUGAAAACCUUGGGCUUAACUCAGGGCUUGCUUUCGAUACGGGCAGACUAGAGGUAUGCAGGGGAGAAUGGAAUUCCUGGUGUAGCGGUGAAAUGCGCAGAUAUCAGGAGGAACACCGGUGGCGAAGGCGGUUCUCUGGGCAUGAUCUGACGCUGAGGAGCGAAAGCGUGGGGAGCGAACAGG